AACCCAUGAUUUGGGCAUUUUCUCAAUAUCAUCUUAAAUCUUUCCCAUGUAUCAUAAAAGACUUCAUUUGCUCCUUGUUUGAACAUAGAAAUUUAAGACU
RNAcentral lists this small nucleolar RNA (100 nucleotides) under Phaseolus vulgaris (common bean). RNAcentral's name for it is "Plant small nucleolar RNA R71". It matches the Rfam family "Plant small nucleolar RNA R71". From Rfam's summary of the family: R71 is a member of the C/D box family of snoRNAs containing the C (UGAUGA) and D (CUGA) box motifs. Multiple nearly identical copies of this snoRNA have been identified in Arabidopsis, and it is thought to function as a 2'-O-ribose methylation guide for 18S ribosomal RNA. The record is from Rfam by way of RNAcentral. Lineage: Eukaryota; Viridiplantae; Streptophyta; Magnoliopsida; Fabales; Fabaceae.